Molecule: long non-coding RNA, 335 nt
Filed under: Hordeum vulgare
Lineage: Eukaryota; Viridiplantae; Streptophyta; Magnoliopsida; Poales; Poaceae
Description: long non-coding RNA (HVUL_LNC012028)
Source: RNAcentral
AUAUAUGCACUUAUCUUGUUGUGGACAUUCAGACCUCCGUGCAUUGAGUUAACAUGAAAGGAUAUAGCAAAAUAACCUUUUAUUGGUACCAACAUAACUUUAUUAUGAAAGGGCACCAUGUCUACUAACCCAAAUUUCAUGUCUUUGUCCAGUCUUUGCUCACCUUCAGUUAUGCCGGAAUAAAAAAUGUCAAGCAAUGAAAGAAAAAGUCCAGAGCAUCCAGUUUUUCAUCCACUUUUCACUUUUUCUCUCAGCUAGCAAAACAUCAAAUAUGUCGAGGAUUUGUUUACGCCAUUUCUGUAUUUUUGUAUGCUCUUGGUCUUCAACAGUGGACU